This 253-nucleotide ribosomal RNA is filed under the name uncultured prokaryote. RNAcentral's name for it is "partial 16S ribosomal RNA". It matches the Rfam family "Bacterial small subunit ribosomal RNA", at positions 525 to 777 of the family's 1533-position model. The record is from RNAcentral.
ACGGGGGGGGCAAGCGUUGUUCGGAAUUACUGGGCGUAAAGGGCGCGUAGGCGGUUCGCUAAGUUGGAUGUGAAAACUCUGGGCUCAACCCAGAGCCUGCAUCCAAAACUGUCAGGCUAGAGCACGGUAGAGGCAGAUGGAAUUCCCGGUGUAGCGGUGGAAUGCGUAGAGAUCCGGAAGAACACCGGUGGCGAAGGCGGCCUGCUGGGCAGUAGCUGACACUGAGGCGCGACAGCGUGGGGAGCAAACAGGA